AUGGCAAACGGUUUAACAGGUGUGGAUUUUGUACGCUGUUGGAUAUCCUGGAGUAUCUUGCCGCCAAGCCGGCGCCCCGGUUUAAUGUGCGAAUAUACCGGUGAGGUUGACGAUCCUCAACGCCACUGCAACAUCCAAUUAUCCGAGGAAGAAGUUACUGAAGGUGUAAAGAAGAUUCUGAAUGAAUCAGAUCUGGUCUGUAGUCAAACCGGCCUGAGUCCCUUCUACACCAAGAACAAACCGCCCGCUGGUGAUGACCCCUUCUGGAAACGAAAAUCCAUAGAGAAAGCGGCAAAGCCAACUGGAGACAAAGUGGCCAAGCCAACCCGCCCGAAGACCAAAGCCGUAAAACGGACAUCAAAGCGGAAACCGGCUGACCGGAUUAAUAUGGAGCUUGAUGAUGAUACUGAUGACCCAGAAGUUGAGGUAGAACUUGACUCACUUGGUUCUCUUUUUAUGCAUCUUGUUAACAAUGAUCUUCCUCAGGAGGAAGCUGAAGCUAGUCAAGCUGAGGACGUAGAGGUAAUUACCCUUUCCUCUGGUUUAGACUCUAUGCCAACAUAA
RNAcentral lists this ribosomal RNA (564 nucleotides) under Triticum aestivum (bread wheat). RNAcentral's name for it is "partial small subunit ribosomal RNA". Lineage: Eukaryota; Viridiplantae; Streptophyta; Magnoliopsida; Poales; Poaceae. The record is from RNAcentral.